This 63-nucleotide transfer RNA is filed under the name Philagra albinotata. Its description in RNAcentral is "tRNA-His". The record is from RNAcentral. Lineage: Eukaryota; Metazoa; Arthropoda; Insecta; Hemiptera; Aphrophoridae.
AUUUAAAUAGUUUAAAAAAAAUAAUGAUUUGUGGAAUCAUAGAUAUUAAAAUAAUUUUAAAUA